GACGAACGCUGGCGGCGUGCUUAACACAUGCAAGUCGAACGGAAAGGCCCUGCUUUUGUGGGGUGCUCGAGUGGCGAACGGGUGAGUAACACGUGAGUAACCUGCCCUUGACUUUGGGGUAACUUCAGGAAACUGGGGCUAAUACCGGGUAGGAGCCCCUGCUGCAUGGUGGGGGUUGGAAAGUUUCGGCGGUUGGGGAUGGACUCGCGGCUUAUCAGCUUGUUGGUGGGGUAGUGGCUUACCAAGGCUUUGACGGGUAGCCGGCCUGAGAGGGUGACCGGCCACAUUGGGACUGAGAUACGGCCCAGACUCCUACGGGAGGCAGCAGUGGGGAAUAUUGCACAAUGGGCGGAAGCCUGAUGCAGCAACGCCGCGUGCGGGAUGACGGCCUUCGGGUUGUAAACCGCUUUCGCCUGUGACGAAGCGUGAGUGACGGUAAUGGGUAAAGAAGCACCGGCUAACUACG
Molecule: ribosomal RNA, 466 nt
Filed under: uncultured bacterium
Lineage: Bacteria
Description: partial 16S ribosomal RNA
Rfam family: Bacterial small subunit ribosomal RNA
Source: RNAcentral